This 468-nucleotide ribosomal RNA is filed under the name uncultured bacterium. RNAcentral's name for it is "partial 16S ribosomal RNA". It matches the Rfam family "Bacterial small subunit ribosomal RNA", at positions 28 to 507 of the family's 1533-position model. The record is from RNAcentral.
GACGAACGCUGGCGGCGUGCUUAACACAUGCAAGUCGAACGGAAAGGCCCUGCUUUUGUGGGGUGCUCGAGUGGCGAACGGGUGAGUAACACGUGAGUAACCUGCCCUUGACUUUGGGAUAACUUCAGGAAACUGGGGCUAAUACCGGAUAGGAGCUCCUGCUGCAUGGUGGGGGUUGGAAAGUUUCGGCGGUUGGGGAUGGACUCGCGGCUUAUCAGCUUGUUGGUGGGGUAGUGGCUUACCAAGGCUUUGACGGGUAGCCGGCCUGAGAGGGUGACCGGCCACAUUGGGACUGAGAUACGGCCCGAAGUCCUACGGGAGGAAGCAGUGGGGAAUAUUGCACAAUGGGCGGAAGCCUGAUGAAGCAACGCCGCGUGCGGGAUGACGGCCUUCGGGUUGUAAACCGCUUUCGCCUGUGACGAAGCGUGAGUGACGGUAAUGGGUAAAGAAGCACCGGCUAACUACGUG